This 255-nucleotide ribosomal RNA is filed under the name uncultured bacterium. RNAcentral's name for it is "partial 16S ribosomal RNA". It matches the Rfam family "Bacterial small subunit ribosomal RNA", at positions 524 to 776 of the family's 1533-position model. The record is from RNAcentral.
UACGGAGGGGGCUAGCGUUGUUCGGAAUUACUGGGCGUAAAGCGCGCGUAGGCGGACCUGCAAGUCGGGGGUGAAAGCCCGGAGGCUCAACCUCGGAACUGCCUUCGAUACUGCGGGUCUCGAGUCCGGGAGAGGUGAGUGGAAUUCCUAGUGUAGAGGUGAAAUGCGCAGAUAUCGGGAAGAACACCCGUGGCGAAGGCGGCUCUCUGGGACGGUACUGGACGCUGAGACGCGAAAGCGUGGGGAGCGAACAGG